UCCCUGGUGGCUCAGAGGUUAAAGCGUCUGCCUGCAAUGCGGGAGACCUGGGUUCGAUCCCUGGGCUGGGAA
Molecule: transfer RNA, 72 nt
Filed under: Bos taurus (domestic cattle)
Lineage: Eukaryota; Metazoa; Chordata; Mammalia; Artiodactyla; Bovidae
Also listed under: 4 other names
Rfam family: tRNA
About the family: Transfer RNA (tRNA) molecules are approximately 80 nucleotides in length. Their secondary structure includes four short double-helical elements and three loops (D, anti-codon, and T loops).
Source: Rfam by way of RNAcentral